Molecule: long non-coding RNA, 227 nt
Filed under: Elaeis guineensis (African oil palm)
Lineage: Eukaryota; Viridiplantae; Streptophyta; Magnoliopsida; Arecales; Arecaceae
Description: long non-coding RNA (EGUI_LNC032946)
Source: RNAcentral
GGUGGAGUUUUGGUUUCGGCAAUUUCUCUGAGGUUUCGGUUAAAAAAAUAAAAAAAUAAGGAACAAAAUCCAGGUGAGUUAUUUUGCAGCAUUAUAUUUUAUUGUCAUCUAGAAUCAAAACGUAUGUAAUUCAAGUACUUUUAGGCCGAAAUAAAAUUGUUUAUUAAGAUAUCACAUGAGUGCACUGAUAGAUUAAGAUGCCAAAUAUCAUUUAACUUUGUGUGAAC